AUUGAACGCUGGCGGCAUGCUUUACACAUGCAAGUCGAACGAGUGGCGGACGGGUGAGUAAUGUAUCGGAACCUGCCCGAUGGAGGGGGAUAACUACUGGAAACGGUAGCUAAUACCGCAUACUAUCGGAUGUGCCCAGAUGGGAUUAGCUAGUAGGUGGGGUAAAGGCUCACCUAGGCGACGAUCCCUAGCUGGUCUGAGAGGAUGACCAGCCACACUGGAACUGAGACACGGCCCAGACUCCUACGGGAGGCAGCAGUGGGGAAUAUUGCACAAUGGGCGCAAGCCUGAUACAGCCAUGCCGCGUGUAUGAAGAAGGCCUUCGGGUUGUAAAGUACUUUCAGCGGGGAAGCGUUACCCGCAGAAGAAGCACCGGCUAACUCCGUGCCAGCAGCCGCGGUAAUAC
Molecule: ribosomal RNA, 406 nt
Filed under: uncultured bacterium
Lineage: Bacteria
Description: partial 16S ribosomal RNA
Rfam family: Bacterial small subunit ribosomal RNA
Source: RNAcentral